This 873-nucleotide ribosomal RNA is filed under the name uncultured bacterium. RNAcentral describes it as "bacterial SSU rRNA". It matches the Rfam family "Bacterial small subunit ribosomal RNA", at positions 10 to 932 of the family's 1533-position model. The record is from RNAcentral.
AGUUUGAUCAUGGCUCAGAACGUACGCUGGCGGCACGCCUAACACAUGCAAGUCGAACGAAGUAGCAAUACUUAGUGGCAGACGGGUGAGUAACAUGUGGGUAUCUACCCUUUGGCCUGGAAUAACACGAGGAAACUUGUGCUAAUACUGGAUAAGUCUUUACGGAGAAAGCUUUAUGCACCAAUGGAUGAGCCUGCACUUGAUUAGUUUGUUGGUAGGGUAAUGGCUUACCAAGACUGUGAUCAAUAGCUGAUUUGAGAGGAUGAUCAGCCACAUUGGGACUGAGACACGGCCCAAACUCCUACGGGAGGCAGCAGUGGGGAAUCUUGCACAAUGGAGGAAACUCUGAUGCAGCGAUGCCGCGUGAGUGAAGAAGGCCUUUGGGUUGUAAAGCUCUUUCGUCGGGGAAGAAAAUGACUGUACCCGAAUAAGAAGGUCCGGCUAACUUCGUGCCAGCAGCCGCGGUAAUACGAAGGGACCUAGCGUAGUUCGGAAUUACUGGGCUUAAAGAGUUCGUAGGUGGUUGAAAAAGUUGGUGGUGAAAUCCCAGAGCUUAACUCUGGAACUGCCAUCAAAACUUUUCAGCUAGAGUUUGAUAGAGGAAAGCAGAAUUUCUAGUGUAGAGGUGAAAUUCGUAGAUAUUAGAAAGAAUACCAAUUGCGAAGGCAGCUUUCUGGAUCAAUACUGACACUGAGGAACGAAAGCAUGGGUAGCGAAGAGGAUUAGAUACCCUCGUAGUCCAUGCCGUAAACGAUGUGUGUUAGACGUUGGAAAUUUAUUUUCAGUGUCGCAGUGAAAGCGAUAAACACACCGCCCUGGGGAGUACGACCGCAAGGUUAAAACUCAAUGAAUUGACGGGACCCGCACAAGUAG